CCCCUAAAAAUUUCUGCUGUAGUAGUGGCUAUACCGUAUCCAUGCUUGGUAGGGCGGCAAAGCUUCAGCCACCUUGCUGCAAACUCCUAGGAAAAUGGGAAUCCAUUGCAUUGCGACGUGCUUAGGCUGGAGUACCUCUGGAGCUGAACAGCUGCUAGAGUGGCCAGUCCCAUGGAGCUUAUGGAGCAAGAUGGCAUGUCCCAUCGAGCUAUGGCCAAGUGCUGUCGGCAGCAAACGCUCUGCUGCAUGUAGGAGGCAUGAUAAGUACACGCAAAAUACUCCCCAACUAUUUCCAAAAGAGACCCCUAAUUUGCAUGAUGGUCAAUAUUUGAAAUGUAAAUAUAUGUUUAAAAUGAUCAAAACAUUUACAUACCACUACUAUUCUGGAUCAUCAUUAAGUUUUGUAGAAAAUUAAGUGUGUCCGGCUUCAGAUAAUCAGUAAUACAGGUGAAUCAAUUGUUACAAAGGUAUAGCACAUGUCCAAAUCCUAGUAAUGAAACAUGCUUUUUGAGAUGAAUAAAGUGAUAGACAUGUAACAAGAACACUCUAACAUUCAGCAUACCAAAGAUAAACAACAUACUAAUAAAAGAACAGGAAGCAGUUCAAAUAUUCAAAAUAUAUUGCAGCUUGUGUAAUUAUUUAAAAGAUUUUUAGAGAAUAUUUUUUGAGAGAUGAAUUA
Molecule: long non-coding RNA, 679 nt
Filed under: Sorghum bicolor (sorghum)
Lineage: Eukaryota; Viridiplantae; Streptophyta; Magnoliopsida; Poales; Poaceae
Description: long non-coding RNA (SBIC_LNC009558)
Source: RNAcentral